AUAAUAACGAUCUUUAGCAAAUCAGAAGCUUAAUUUAAUUAGGCUUGCCUUUAAAAACAAACUUUCAAGAGUUAUUAGAUUUACAUUAACUCAUUCAAUAAUAUAUCCUGAACAUUAUAUUGGUUAUAUGCCAUAUGGGAUUACAAGACUAAGUAGGGGUCCCUGCCCUCAAGGAGCUCACACUCUAGGAAAGGAUUGGGGCACCUUUUAUUUUAGACAGCUGUGUUUAAUUUUUAACAAUGUUUAGACCAGCAAUUCUCAGUAUUUUCCAUGGAAUACCAAUCCUAUAAGAAGGGCAGGUACAUUUGGAAAAUAGGAUAUACCCAGAGGACAACACAGGAGAAUACUGAAGGCCUUGAGAGUCUUAUAGAAAAGAACUUUAACUUUGCUUAACUUGGCAUUUCACAAAAUUAUGUAACUGCAUCUUUUUCACCUAACACCUAUAAACAGAUCAUGUCACACUUUGCGAAAUGCUGAUUUGGGCACACAGUUUUAAAAAAAUGUAUUCCUAUGUAUUUCCUAAGGCACUGAAAACACAAACUUUUAACACUUUUCACAUUUUCAGAAAAUACAUGAAAGAGCAAGUUUGCAAAUUCUUGGGAAUUAUAAAAAUAAUCUGAAGGAUGGGGUUAAGGGGUAGAGAGAGAAUAACAAAUAGAAUAGCUUUCCCAAACCACAGAAAACUAUCUCAAACUAUAAACUAUGUUUCAUGAAGACUAAAAAUAUCCAUAAAAACUUAAAAACAGGUGAUUUAAAUAUAUAAUCCUUUUACUAAAAUCUACUUUAUGUGAACAUACUGUUUAGACUGUUUCAAACAAACAUAUCUUAAUCUGUGAUCAAUUUUACACAUAUUCUUAAUUACAUGUAGAGACAAGACAUUGUAUGCUCCAUAUUUCAUUUGUUAACAUUCAUUAUCUUUCCACCCUUUUCAGAAUUUCUGGUUUGUACCUGCUCUUCUCUCUUGAUGCUAGCUAAUGGAAUUCCAGUAUUUAGGCACUUCUAAUAGCUGGCUAAAAAAAAAAAAUUUAUCAAGAUUAAAAGGGAAAAAUGUACCCUCCUCCCCAUAGUUGCAGAAAAGCAGAUAGGAUUCUAUUCUAUAUCAUAAAACUGCUUUUGCAAAUAUUAUUUUUUAAAAAGUUGUCUUGUUAGACACCUGGGUUUCAGUGUUGCUAUAUCCUGUGACAAUACCUGUGACAAAAAUAGUAACUUUUAAAGUCUGUAAUUCUGACUGGUUGUCUCCUUAAUAAUUUGUGACCUUGCUAAUGAUAUUUAACAUUCUGAUUUCUGAAAGUUUCUCUGCAAAUUUGUUAAGCUGAGGAAAAAAAUCAUUGGUACAUCCCUUUUCUUGCAAAUAUAUGGUCACAUACAUAACACACCUUUGAUUAUG
Molecule: long non-coding RNA, 1387 nt
Filed under: Equus caballus (horse)
Lineage: Eukaryota; Metazoa; Chordata; Mammalia; Perissodactyla; Equidae
Description: lncRNA (ENSECAG00000051384.1)
Source: RNAcentral